Molecule: non-coding RNA, 90 nt
Organism: Oryzias latipes (Japanese medaka)
Lineage: Eukaryota; Metazoa; Chordata; Actinopteri; Beloniformes; Adrianichthyidae
Source: Rfam
GUGCACCAUUGUGUAUUAUGGCUUUUUAUUCCUAUGUGAUGGUGAAAAAUGUUCAUGUAGGAACAGAAGCCAUUUUACACGUGGCGAUAC